GUCGGGAUAGCUCNNCUGGGAAAGCAGAGGACUGAAAAUC
RNAcentral lists this transfer RNA (40 nucleotides) under Acalypha stricta. Its description in RNAcentral is "partial tRNA-Phe". Lineage: Eukaryota; Viridiplantae; Streptophyta; Magnoliopsida; Malpighiales; Euphorbiaceae. The record is from RNAcentral.